This 305-nucleotide ribosomal RNA is filed under the name uncultured bacterium. Its description in RNAcentral is "bacterial SSU rRNA". It matches the Rfam family "Bacterial small subunit ribosomal RNA", at positions 334 to 653 of the family's 1533-position model. The record is from RNAcentral.
UUUUCCUACGGGGGGCAGCAGUGGGGAAUAUUGCACAAUGGGCGAAAGCCUGAUGCAGCAACGCCGCGUGAAGGAAGAAGGGUUUCGGCUCGUAAACUUCUAUCAACAGGGACGAAAGAAAUGACGGUACCUGAAUAAGAAGCCCCGGCUAACUACGUGCCAGCAGCCGCGGUAAUACGUAGGGGGCAAGCGUUAUCCGGAUUUAUUGGGUUUAAAGGGUGCGUAGGCGGUCGGAUAAGUUAGAGGUGAAAUCCCGAGGCUCAACUUCGGAAUUGCCUCUGAUACUGUUCGGCUAGAGAGUAGUU